GCGAGCUCCUGGGUUCCACAGAGCCACACGGAGCUCCAGGCACUGGCAGCUCCGAUCGCGGGCACGUUCUGCACGGCGGCAGCACCAAACGCCCCGCAGGGUUACAGAGGCCACUGCUGCCCUGUAUUGAGCCCCUCCUGGAACAGCAGAGGAGACACGUUCCCUUUGGCACUUCUGCAUAUUUACCUGACAGGAGAAGCAACAAGGCAAGUGUCCCCUCCUCCCCUGAUUAUUUGGCUGAAGAAGCAGCAAGAGAAGGUGUCAUGAGGGAAACAUCACACCUCCUGAAGAGUAGGCGGUAACAGAGAGAGGCAAAGCAGCUUAAAACCAAGGACAUUUCCAUCCAUCUAGAAGGAGGAGCUAUGGAAAAGCACCACUCCACAACAGAACACGAACCCUGACAACUUAUCCAGCUGAGGCUGCAAAGAAAAUCAUACACAGUGUUGAGAAUGCUACUGACAACUCAAUAUUUGUUGAGUGGCACUGCUCAUGUGCAUGGCCUUUUGCUUAAUAAUUACUGAGAAUUAGUCUCCAAAAGCCUUUGGGACUGGAAAUCAGCAUUUUACAGAAAAUCACCAAUGGGAGACUGUAUUAAAAAAAGCAUGACAGUCAACUAAAACUGACUUGUAAUGUUUCUAAGGCUACAAGUACAUUUUUCAGUCUUUUUCAAGGUUUUUCGUUUGGUUGGUUGUCUGGUUUGGUUUCUGGGGUUUUUUUAAGACAUUAAGGAAUUAAUCAAAAGACUGAAAAAUAAGAAAGUGUGUAAGUUUUUGUGACAAUCUGGACAAUUUUAGGCCAUGACAACAUGGAAAAUUCUCCAAAGAGACCAUGAAAGGCUCCAGGGGGUUUGCCUGUGCUGCAAGAUGAUGGCAUAUUCCUAACACUGAUGUA
This is a long non-coding RNA of Pyrgilauda ruficollis (rufous-necked snowfinch), 891 nucleotides long. RefSeq lists it as uncharacterized. The record is from RefSeq and is a predicted model, not a curated record. The transcript has 4 exons. NCBI's taxonomy places the organism in Eukaryota, Metazoa, Chordata, Aves, Passeriformes, Passeridae.